AUUUUAGUUUACAAGAAUCUUCAAACUUGAAAUGAAUGUUAGUUAGGAAACAAAUUGAAUCUUAAUUGUUGGAAGCUAUAAAUGCUUCAACCUUUUUAUUACGAUAAUAGCCGAACUUUAUUUUGUGCCUUUAUUGCCCUGAAUAGGUUAAUACUUUGUGAAUCACUGAAUUAUGAAUUAGUAGUGCAUAUAAUCUAUAUACAUCUCUCUCUCUCUCUCUCAUCGGUUGGUUCGGUUUUACAUGUUAUUGGUUCGGUUUAUCGGUUUUUGGUUUUUAAAUAUGUAAAACCAAUAACCAACCAAUAAGAUAUUUUCUUAUCAAUUUCGGUUUAUCGAUUUUUGGUCCUUAACGGUUUGAUUUUCGGUUUAACCAAUAAGAAAAUACUUAUAAAAUAAAAAUAGUAACAACUAAAAUAGAAAAAUAAAAUCUUAAUUACCCCUAAAACCUACGCAAUACAUUUUAGUUUACAAGAAUCUUCAAACUUGAAUUGAAUGUUUGUUAGGAAAAAAAUUAAAUCUUAAUUGUUGGAAGCUAUAAAUGCUUCAACCUUUUUAUUACGAUAAUAGCCGAACUUUAUAUUGUGCCUUUGUUGUCCUGAAUAGGUUAAUACUUUGUGAAUCAUUGAAUUAUGAAUUAGUAGUGCAUAUAAUCUAUAUACAUACAUCUCUCUCUUUCUCUCUCUCUCUCUCUCUAUAUAUAUAUAUAGAGAGAGGGAAAUUUAAAUAUAUAACAUAAAUAAGGAUAAAAUAAUAACUUAGUGUAUCCUUAUUGGGUUAUUGGUUUAACCGAUAACCCAAUAAGCUAAAAUUGAUACCGAAAUAUUUACCCAAUAAUUUUUUUUUAUAAAACCCAUAAAAAAUCGUUAACCCGAUAACCCAAUACCAAUAACCCAACAACACUUUUAUCGGUUUGGUUUAUCGAUCGGUUUGGUUUUUGCACAGCCUUAAUUCUUUGCCACUUAUGAAUAAUGUACAUGUUGUGCGAGAGGAUACACUAGUUGAUCCUAUAGAUAGCAGAAUCGACUGUUCUAAUAAGAUCGAUUUGUGUCUAUCUAGUGUUAAAGCUAUUGUGUUGAAUGAAAGUACACCAUCGUGUGAAAAUUGCGUUGGCCAACUUGUGUGUAAAACUUGCCCACCACUUGAGGAUAUGUGUUGUGUGAUUAAUUAAUCUCAAGUGAGUGAAGAAUUUGAAAAUGUUGGUCAACAAAAUGGGAGUGAAACCGAGAGCUAUUCUUGGGAUAGUCUUGUACUUGAAAUCUCUUUGAAACUUGAUAUUGAUCUCUUAGAGGUUGAAGAAUGUGUUUUUUCCGAAUCUGCCCGUGAAAUAGAUCAUGCUCUAUUUAGGUAUAAUGUCUUGUUUGAAGAUGAUAGAAACACUCCUAAUAGACCUAGUGGUGAAAAUAAUGGUAUAGCUUGUCUUGGAAGCUAUAGCCUAUAUGUUAACCCACUAUGGUGUGACCACAUUCCUCCUAAAGAUGGAAAUCUCUUCUUGAAAUAUGAGAGUACUCUUACAGGUAAGCAAUGUGAGGUCUUGGAAACUACUUCUUCUUUUGCUUUGUAUGGCUUUUCCGAGAACAUCAUAGUAGAAGUAGAAUUGAGUUCCACCUUUCUGUACUCUCUCUUUACUUGUGAUGAUAUAUAUGCCAAUAUAGAGGGUAAGCCGUGUGGUUGUGGUAAAGACUACGGGAAAUGGGUGUAUUGUCUAGACCCGUGUCUAUGACCACUCUUCCCAUUUGAUCCCGGUGCCCUCAGGGUGGGGAUGAGUUACUUUCGGCUUAGGUGUAUCCUUUCUAGAUUUUCUUCAUAACCAAGUCCUUGGUGCGGUUGUCAAUGGUUUCCUAAUGUGUAACUUCAAGGACUCUUGGUUGUAUGUCAAGUAUGAACUGCCUUGGCAUGUUUAGACUUGUUGUUGGCCGAGACUUGAACUCAAAGGGUCCUCAGUUUCUUUUUUUUGGUGUGGCCUAUUUUUUUUUUGGCUUGUUUUGAUACAUUUGGUAUCCCUUAUUUUUGAUACAUCCUCAUUUUUUUUUUGGUGUGGACUGAUU
RNAcentral lists this long non-coding RNA (2045 nucleotides) under Capsicum annuum. RNAcentral's name for it is "long non-coding RNA (CANN_LNC002594)". The record is from RNAcentral. Lineage: Eukaryota; Viridiplantae; Streptophyta; Magnoliopsida; Solanales; Solanaceae.